GCAAGUCGAACGGUAAGGCCCUGCUUGCAGGGUACACGAGUGGCGCACGGGUGCGUAACGCGUAUGCAACCUACCUUUAACUGAGAGAUAGCCCCGAGAAAUUGGGAUUAAUACCUCAUAAUAUCAUAAAACAUCAUUGUUUAAUGAUUAAAACUCCGGUGGUUAAAGAUGGGCAUGCGUGACAUUAGUUUGUUGGUGAGGUAACGGCUCACCAAGACUGCGAUGUCUAGGGGGUCUUAAAGGAUGAUC
This 249-nucleotide ribosomal RNA is filed under the name uncultured bacterium. RNAcentral describes it as "partial 16S ribosomal RNA". It matches the Rfam family "Bacterial small subunit ribosomal RNA", at positions 57 to 305 of the family's 1533-position model. The record is from RNAcentral.